GGUUAAUGAGCUUGAAUAAGCGUAUGUUUUGAAAGCAUAAGAUAGGACUCAACCCUCCUAUUAACCU
This 67-nucleotide transfer RNA is filed under the name Bactrocera tsuneonis (Japanese orange fly). RNAcentral describes it as "tRNA-Ser". The record is from RNAcentral. Lineage: Eukaryota; Metazoa; Arthropoda; Insecta; Diptera; Tephritidae.